UAUAGGGUCAACUGAUGCAAAUGACUAUGAUGGUUACACCCAACAUCAACAAAGAGCUGCAUUACCUUAACAAGGAAGAUCGGUUGCUGCGCUGGCUUGUGGUCAAACACCGAGAUGCAAAAUAUGGGGUGGAAUUUCUUAGUGAAGAGGACAGCAAAAAUGAACUCAGUAAGUUUCCUCGAAGCAGUUUAUAUGAUAAUCAAGAUGUUGAUGAAGACGAUGACAACGACGAUGAAUAUGCUGUGGAUGAAGAAGAAGGAAAGCAGACAUAAGUAACUAGAAUGACAGGUGAACUUCAUUGGAUUCAAUAGUCAUUACGUUAUGAGGAUGAUGAAGAAUGUACUUAUCAAUGCCCCUCAUAUCAAACAUUUCUUGUCGAAACAGUUCACCUCCGACAAACCAUAUACUACUCAAGAAAUUGACGAAGUUAGAGAAGAAUGGGCAAUGUCAUUUUUACAAUUGGUUAGAGCAAAAUGAAUGAUAUUAUAGCUAGCUAAUUACAAUACAUGUUUAGAAAUUUUAAAUUUAUUUCGUAAAAAAUUUUUGCCAUUUUUUUAGUAUUUUAUUUUCAAAAUUCUUUUGAUACAUAUUCGACACUCAAAUGGAUAUAUAUUUUUAAAUCAAAAUUAAAAUUGUAGC
Humulus lupulus (European hop) is the source of this 639-nucleotide long non-coding RNA. RefSeq lists it as uncharacterized. The record is from RefSeq and is a predicted model, not a curated record. NCBI's taxonomy places the organism in Eukaryota, Viridiplantae, Streptophyta, Magnoliopsida, Rosales, Cannabaceae. The transcript has 3 exons.